UGGCUGAUUUUUCUUUCCUUCUUUCGUGAUUCCUCUGCGUCUCUACUUUCUUUUCUUUCGUCUUCAACCACUGCCAAUGAUAGUGGCUGUUGUUGCUUCGACCGUCCGCCAUUGACAGGUGCUGGAGCUCGCUGAUUCGUUGCUGUACGUUUGAGAAGAUUCAAAGGCUCUGGAUCAAGGAGAAUGGGAGAGAGCUUUAAACUAUAGCUGCGUCUCUUCCGAUCUCCUUCUUGUGCUGUUCUUUUCGUCUGUCACCAGUGAGCUUGAGCAUGUUGCAGAUUUCUUCUUCCUUUUCCUCUGUUCUACGUUACUGAUCGCUCAACACUGUAGGUCGUCGUUCAGUUCGUCCAUCUGCUGUUCAUUCGCGUUGGCGGCCGUUUUUUUCUUCCUCCGUUAAUAUCGAGCUAUGGGUUCUUAAAUUUCAGAUUGGGGAGUGGUUGAUUCACGUUGAUUUACUGGUUUUCUGCUUCCCCUGUUCAGCACCGAACUGCUCUCCCUUCAUAGUCGUUGUGGCCGAUAUCUGGCAGUAGAGUACGUAGCUGAAGGGAAGUGUAGAGGUGUUUAGAAAGAACAUAUGAUUAUUCUUGGAGCUUAUCAGAUGGUAUAGUGGAACUCGUGACUCGAUAUAUCCACUGAGGAGUUUUACUGCUGAAUUGAAGCAGAAGAAUUAUUUUAGUCAAAUCCUAAUUUGGUGAAAAUUUGAACUUUAUACCUAUGUUGGCGUCUGACCUUAAGUGCUCCACAUAGACUACAGGUAGGAUCCUCAUAUUUCCUUUAAACUUGAAUAUCUGAUUUAAUAUUGUAAUAAUUUUUAAUUACUCUAUUAGUGUGUUUAACAUAUUAAAUUCAGAGUUUCUUCUAUCACGGCUUAAGGGAUGUGAGGUUUGUGGUCCAUAUCCUGUGCCGGUCACACCUGAUUUUUGGGGUGUGACAGAAGUUGUAGCC
Molecule: long non-coding RNA, 945 nt
Organism: Prosopis cineraria
Lineage: Eukaryota; Viridiplantae; Streptophyta; Magnoliopsida; Fabales; Fabaceae
Exons: 3
Source: RefSeq, a predicted model, not a curated record